AGCUCCAAUAGCGUAUAUUAAAGUUGUUGCAGUUAAAAAGCUCGUAGUUGGAUUUCUGGGAGGGUGCCAAUGUCCGCUGUUACGCGUGCGCAGCGGCGCCCUUCCAUCCUUCUGUUAACGCCUCUUGGCAUUCAUUUGCUGGUGGCGGGCUCAGAUAUUUUACCUUGAGAAAAUUAGAGUGUUUCAGGCAGGCUAGGCCGGAAUACAUUAGCAUGGAAUAAUGGAAUAGGACUACGGUCUCUUUGUUGGUUUGAGGGACUGCAGUAAUGAUUAAUAGGGAUAGUUGGGGGCAUUAGUAUUUAAUUGUCAGAGGUGGAAUUCUCAGAUUUGUUAAAGACUAACUUAUGCGAAAGCAUUUGCCAAGGAUGUUUUCAUUA
RNAcentral lists this ribosomal RNA (377 nucleotides) under Varistrombidium sp. RNAcentral's name for it is "partial small subunit ribosomal RNA". It matches the Rfam family "Eukaryotic small subunit ribosomal RNA", at positions 587 to 975 of the family's 1831-position model. Lineage: Eukaryota; Ciliophora; Spirotrichea; Strombidiidae. The record is from RNAcentral.